UACAGAGGGUGCGAGCGUUAAUCGGAAUCACUGGGCGUAAAGGGUGCGUAGGUGGUUGAAUAAGUCAGAUGUGAAAUCCCUGGGCUUAACCUAGGAAUUGCAUUUGGUACUGUUUAGCUAGAGUGCAGUAGAGGGAAGUGGAAUUUCCGGUGUAGCGGUGAAAUGCGUAGAUAUCGGAAGGAACAUCAGUGGCGAAGGCGACUUUCUGGACUGUAACUGACACUGAGGCACGAAAGCGUGGGUAGCGAACAGG
This 253-nucleotide ribosomal RNA is filed under the name uncultured bacterium. Its description in RNAcentral is "partial 16S ribosomal RNA". It matches the Rfam family "Bacterial small subunit ribosomal RNA", at positions 524 to 776 of the family's 1533-position model. RNAcentral also lists the same sequence under 1 other name. The record is from RNAcentral.